AUACUAUAUGGCAAGAACGUUGGCAAGAACCUUUUCAGCUGUCUAUCUAGCCGUUAAUUAAUGGUGUUGAGUGUGAUCUGUUUGAUUGCUCACCUCCGCCGCCUUUAGUUUUAAAGAAUCCAAAGUUUGUCUUACAGGUUUUAGUGUGUCUGUCUCUGUGGCCGCCUUGGACCCAGUCUGAGUGCAUGCUCCAGAGGUUUAAGAAUGCCAGAAUUCGUGUGCUUCUCUCACUGUGGCUAAACAGAACCUCCUUGACAUAGUUUUGAUAAUUAUCUCAUUCAGGUUUGUUAAUUUUUUUUAAGGGAAAUUAAGUAUCCUAGGCUACAAAAAGGCAAUUUCUGGCUCAGUUUGACCCUGGAGUGGCCUGUUAUAGGAUUUCAUAGAAUUGUAGAGUUGAAGGUAUUCCUACGAUUCCAAGAUGCAGCUGGUGGGCUGGAUCUGAAGAGACACAAAAUGUAAUAAAUUGAGCCAGUGGAAGAUCUUGCACCAUAAUGAAUUGCAGGGGGUUGGACUAGAUGGCCCCCAGGAGACCCAACUCUUACUGUGACAUGAAACUUGAGAUCUUGCGCAAGGUCUCGUGCUAACUGUUGGAUUUUGGCUCUCUUUUUCGCACACAAGGAUCUUGCACUAAGCCAGAAAACAAAACGAAAAGCCCUUCUCCUCCAGGAAGAGGCCUUCUGUUUGCCAAAGAGCUCCUCAGAAUCCAGUCCAAGGUUGUCGGACCUUUGCUCAGUUGGGCCUCUUUGUGAAAAAAAAUCUGUGGGCAGCAGGUUUAUAGAGCAGUGCCCCCUUUUGAAAGGUCCUCCUCAGUUCACUGAGAAGACUCCUUCACACAUGUAAACAUGUGUCCUCUGCACUUGAUUACUUAAAACGUCUGAACUGGCCUUGCUUGAAAAGGACUGGGUUCUGAAUUUUGAAGAAAGUUCUGUCGAUGGCAUUGUACAGUGGUACCUCGGGUUAAGUACUUAAUUCAUUCUGGAGGUCCGUUCUUAACCUGAAACUGUUCUUAACCUGAAGCACCACUUUAGCUAAUGGGGCCUCCCGCUGCUGCCGCGCCGCUGGAGCUUGAUUUCUGUUCUCAUCCUGAAGCAAAGUUCUUAACCUGAGGUACUAUUUCUGGGUUAGCGGAGUCUGUAACCUGAAGCAUCUGUAACCCGAGGUACCACUGUAUUACUUGCCCAUUUACAAAUGCAACUAAACACUUGAUGUUGCUGUUAUCAAGUGUGAACCGGGUCACAAUCCUGCACAUUGUGGUCUGCCGGUGAAUGUCUGCCCCUUCCCCAAAUGUUGCAUUCCAAGGCACAAUCCUUCCAUGUCAAGCAUCCCUUAUUUUGGUGUCUCCUCUCUUGGGCAACUCUUGGUUUUUGAGUGCAUGUCAGUCAUCCUUAGUAGGCACCCUCGCCCGGGUCUUUUACCUUGCUUCAGUUUUCUUUCACUUACCUUUUGUCGUUGUCGAGCCCUUCUGGAGAACUGUGCAGAUCCUUCUCUUAAAUCAGACAGGAUCAUGGUUCCAAAAGGCUAGUAUUUUGUUAUGCAAAGGCUUUCUUGGGGGAAGGAGUAGCAUUGAGCAAAUAUUCUUUGAUGGCGUGCUAAAGGAAAUGGUUCUUUUCAUGGAAAGGCUUUGUGGUUCUGCCAGCACCUGUUGCCACUAACUCUUGAUCUGACUGUUAUUUUGAAGUGUUUUACCAAGACUCCUAAUUGCAGCUGUGUGCAUGCAAUCCCAUUGUUGCAGCAGGAACAUAAAAUAUGGGGCGGGGGAGAGAUACAUGCUUGUACAUACAUCCUAAAAACACCUGUGCAUGCAACAGCUAGUUAUAUGUACCUGGCACUGCUUUCCGCAUCAAGUGUGGAGAUGCCCUGCAAAUGCGGUGCUGUGUAUCAAUGCAACAUCUCUUCUUAUCCCAGAGGACAGGCUCUUUUUACUUUGCAGUACUCGCUGCUGACAAUAGCUCUGAAGUCUUCCAGGAAGCAAAUAAGUGUGCGUUGAGCACUGGUGCUUUAAGCCUGUGUCCACUUAAGACAGAAUAAAUAUCUCAGGCUGCCUCCACUCUACAGAACUACCAGUUGGUGGUGUUUGCAUCUGUUUGGAGACCUCUCAACAAAGGCUUCUGGGGCGCACAUUCGGUGCACCUAGAGCCAAUCUGCACAUGAAGAACUAUGUUGUGAUUUUUUUUUUCACCUGGGCUAUAACACUUGAUGGUAUUGUGUUGGAGAAAUUUGGGGUGGGUGGAUGAACCUAGUUUUCCUGCACUUAGGAAACCUUAGGGAGAAAAGCUAUACUGCUAGUUUUGGUGAAAGAGAGAUUCCACCUAUCACUGGGAGUUUUCAAAACAAAAUACAGAGUCGUCAUCAUCAUAUGCUAUGCAUGUACAGUCCCAUUUUCCAGGUAGUUUUAAAUACGCCCAGACCCUCAAACUCCCAGACACGGUCUGAAAAUGGUUCUGCUGGUGACCUAUUGUAACGAUAACCCCACUGCUAAAAGUCUGUUAGAAAAAAUUGUGAUGCUAUGUGUUUGUUUUUUCAAAAGAUAUCCCACAAAACUAAGCAGUUCACGAAACACGUGGCCUAAAUAAUUGUAAUCUUGUGGUUUCUGCAAGCAGAUAGGAUGAGGCCAAGUCACUGCACCCGUUGGGGGUGGUUUGUUUGGUUUUUAAACUAGCGUAUUUCAACUAGGUUUUUCAUUCAUGUCUCUCUCCAGUAACACAGGCAACUGCUUUUCAAUCAGGAAAUGUGUAUACAUGUAAUUCAGAAAGGGUGUCAUUUUUGUUUCCAUGCCCCCAGUACAAUUAUUUGUUCACAGCUGCCUUAAAACUAGGCCUUUGCUUCUCAGAAAUAAAUCGUAGCCCAGCCUACCAAGGUCUGAUUCCCCCAUUUUUGUGGUGGGGGAUAUCACAGAAUAGAGGGUGUGAUGAUUUGUUUUGUGAGCUUUUCAUGUGGUGGUUCUCACCAGAGCACUUCACCGUACAAAAUGUGAGGUGGAGACUUGCCUUGUGGUGUCAAAAAAUAGCCAUGUGAAACCCAAAUACAUCCCAGGAGUGACAAGGCCAGCAGUAAAAUGGGUUAUGAUGACUCUUGGAACCGGCUAUUUUCUUCUGGCGAUAUUUAGAAACGUGGGAUAAAUCUCAAACAGAACGGAGGUGUGUGGCAAAGCAGUGUAUGGCGGUUUCACUCUGUUGCCCUCCAGAUAUUUUGGACUGCAAUUUCCAUCAGGCCAAACGAAACAUCUGGAGGGUACCAGUUUGGCUACUAUGGAGCUUGGUUCCAAGCUAAAUAACUUCUCACAGGUGUUUUUUUAAAAAAUAUUUCUAUUUGGGUUUGUUCUGCAAAUUGGCUUGGAACAAACAACAUGUUUCCAUGGAGUGUGGGGAGCCUAUAAUCAUUAGAUAAUUUGCUAAGUCGAGCGGUAGGUUAUGAGAAAUGGGGAGGCGGUGGGAAGAAUGACAGGGGGUGUUGUCAAAAUUACAAUAGUAUUUGUCCAGAAGUGUUGCCUAACAUUUGGAAUCACUUCGAUGCAGUUCAACUUGAAAUGAAGUCUGGUUCCUCUUGCAGACAAAUAAAAUUCUGGCUUUGAUCAUUAAAAGCUCGAUUUCCAAAUUUGCAAAAUGUAUUCGAGGAAAUCCCAGUGUUUUUCAUUUACAAGUGGGCUUGGGUGUGCUGCCCUAAGUCACACUCAAGCCAUGUCCCAAUAUGUGGGAAUUGUCUGCGUAGCACAUUCGCCAGCAAUUCAGCUGAGUAGGACAGUCCCUGCUCACAGCUCCCCGCAUAAGAGAGAACCACAAAAAUACAAUCCUUGCAUGCCGAAGGGCUGAAUGAGAAAUUGCUUUACCUAGAGAACACAAAAUCAGAAAUUCAGAAUCUCUUGGAAACGUGAGCAAUAUUAGAAAAUCCAUGUAUGUUGGAAUACUUUGACCGUACAGCCCCGUUCCUUUUAAGUUUGAAAUCUGUGAAACCGAAUUCUCCAUUUGCUUAGUUAGAUUUGUGGGUGAAGGGUCAUAUCUCGCUGAACUCCACAAAAAUUUGUUCUUCGCUGUCUUCACAGUCCCUGAAUAGGUUGCGGCUGUCAGAAAGUAUUACUAGUUUUUUUAAUAAAAUUAUACACAUCUAUAUAAUAUUUAUUUUCUGUAUACUUUUUGCUUAAAUUAAAAAGGAAUCCAGAAAUCAUCUUGGAAAGCUGGCAGCGAGGGCUAUUAAAAAUGAUGUCUGUAUGUUAUCCUUUGGUCAUUUUGUGUAUUGGGUACCUCCUUGAUAGCUUGUCACCAAAUCAUGGCUGUUGGUGAACUUAACUGGAACCAGGCAAGCCUCUAUACAGGGGAAUCUUCCUUUGCUGUUGACAUGGGGAUGCUCGUGUGGACUGGUCCAUUAGGGUGGGCCACUGUCCCACCAACCUCAGUUUGCCCUCAAGCUGCUCCCACCUGCCUCCUUCCCUCCUUAAAACCAGUCAUUGAGGGUGGGGGUGGCUCUGCCUGUCUUGGCUCCAGUGCCCCCUACUGAUGGCCUCCCUGCUUUCUGACCUACCAGUUCAGUGGGCACCAGCCACCACCGAAGGCAACUGCUACCAGGAGCAAAUGCAGCAAAGGUUUUAAUAUAUGCAUAAACUCUUUUGCUGAAACUUUCCUGUAUCUCUGCAAGCCGCCAUUUCUUGAAGGGUGGUUUUAACAUAAUGCAUUUUGUAAGUUUCUUUUUUAAAAUAAUAAUAAUAAUAAUACUGUAGGAAAGCUAAUAAUACAGGGAACCUUUACAUUUCUCAGCUGUAAAAGAAAAGAAAAAGCAUGUGGAUUUCUUAGUCUUUGGAAUUUACGCUUAGGAAGUCUCUUUUCUUUCGUUGCGCACAAACUGUAUGCCCAGAACUGUAAAUCAAUAUGGUUUUGAUUGUGCCUUAUGACAAAGGAUGGAAUCGUAACACGAAAGGUAGAUGUUUAAAGAGGCAGAAGUGUUGUUUGCUGCACUGUCCGGGAUGAUGCAUUGCAUGUCACUAGAGAGAUUGCCAUGCUUUUAACCCCCCAACCAAAGAGAUCGAGGGGAAAAAAUAUGUGUGUAUGUAUGUUGUACUGUAAUAGAAGCUUGUGCCUGGAAAAAUUUAAGUGGUUUUUUGUGUGUGUUUUGUUUUGUUUGUAUUCUGAAAUGUGAACUUAUUUUUCUAAACACUAUAUACUGAAUAAACUUUAUAUUUAUAC
Podarcis lilfordi (Lilford's wall lizard) is the source of this 5174-nucleotide non-coding RNA. NCBI's taxonomy places the organism in Eukaryota, Metazoa, Chordata, Lepidosauria, Squamata, Lacertidae. The record is from the annotation of a GenBank genome assembly.